Molecule: non-coding RNA, 75 nt
Organism: Pelobates cultripes (western spadefoot toad)
Lineage: Eukaryota; Metazoa; Chordata; Amphibia; Anura; Pelobatidae
Source: the annotation of a GenBank genome assembly
UGCCAGUGUGUGUGUGUGUGUGUGUAUCUGUGUGUCACACACACACACACACACACACACACACACACUGGCACA